Long non-coding RNA from Meriones unguiculatus (Mongolian gerbil), 5668 nucleotides. RefSeq lists it as uncharacterized. The transcript is spliced from 3 exons. The record is from RefSeq and is a predicted model, not a curated record. Lineage: Eukaryota; Metazoa; Chordata; Mammalia; Rodentia; Muridae.
GGAAAAAGAGGAAAAGAAAAGAGGGCUCCACGGCAGAAGGAACAGGAUGCCAGAAGGUCCCAAGUCCGGGCAGGGUCUGUCUGAUCAAGGACCAGAGGCCCAGAGGGCUGGCAAUGGUGGACAUGAGAUGAGACCACCAGGGGUAGGAUCAGCAUCUUCAGCAUCCUCAUCAAGAGUUCUCCAGGGAACUGGAAGUAACUGAUCUCCUGAAAACACAGCGAGACCUGGGUCAGAGCAACAGGUACAGACUUCGGAUCGCCUGCUUCCUUACCGUCUUCAACACACUGUCCAGUCUGCGUGCUCCGGUCGGGCACCCAGGCGGCAGGAGUCAGAGAGAAGAAACCGGUUCUAGAGCCAAAUGACCUGGAUCCUGAUGAGCCCCUCCUGCAUAACCAGCCUGUGGCCUUAGCCCCCUGAGCUUCCUCCGCUCUAGCAGGAGGAUACGAAUCACUUCAGGGAGUCGUUGUGAGGCGGUUGAGGGACCGCAUGAGCACUUAGCACCUCGCAUGGGGGGGGGGUGCCUUCCCUGUCAGCACCAGGCAGCCACCCAUCCCCGGGGUGGAGUCUGCAGGAGGGCUGGGAUGCAUGUUGUCUCUGCAACCCACACUAGGCCUGGCAUCACGCUGGGGACCCCAAGAUGGGCUAAGCCAGGUUCCUGCCCCAGAAAAGGCUCCAGUCUAGCCAAUGAAGAGAUUGACAGAUAAGCCACAGCCUUCACGAAUUCUGGGAAGAUUCCCUCUGCCAGCUUACCCCUGAGAAAUCCUGGGUUUGGGGGCAGAGGUACCACUCAGAGCAAAGGACCCUCGUUGGGCCUUUCACGGGUGCCGUAUCCUUGUCCAGACAGCUUGUAACCCUCCUGGUAGGGAUGAAGAUGCUCUAAAAGGACAUGUGUUCCCCCCUUUGGCUAUCAAACCAUUGAGACACACACUCCAGAGAACUGGAAUGCCCCAGGAGCCUCGUGUUGGGAGGAAAGGGCUGACGUCUGGUCCCAACCGGAAAAAAGAUCUUGUCUUCCAGGAAGGGAUUUCAUACUGUUCUGGGGACUUGUCAGACCACCUUGCAGAAGAAAGAGGAGCCAAGACAAGGAUGAGUCGAUGGCUGUGGGAACACAGCUGGGACGGCUUGGCUCCGGGCACCUCUUACCCUUUAUUUACCCUUUUUAAAGAUAAGUUAUUUCUUUAUAUUUUAUGUACAUUGGUGUUUUGCUUGCAUGCAUGUCUGUGUGAGGGUGUCAGAUUCCUUAGAACAGGAGUUAGACAUUUGUGAGCUGCCAUGUGGGUGCUGGGAGUUGAACACGGGUCCUCUGGAAGAGCAGCCCGUGUUCUUAACCACUGAGCCAUCUCUCCCCUCUAUUCACUCUUAAACCCGCAUGCCACGAGCCUCUCUGAUUCCUUUCCUGGUGUGGCCACAUGGAGUAAACCUUCAGGUUCCGCCUUUCACUAUCACUUACUUCUUUGGUUGAUCUUUUGAGGGUGAGCCUGAGCCUAGUUUAUCAAGGCUACCAGGGCCUGGGCUUAACCGCUACCGGCCCUGGCCACAAGCUGCUUCCCACCGGCAGCCCACAGGAGCGGAACCCAAAGCGAGAGGCAGCGUAAUGGACGGAUUGCCGGGAACAGCCAAGUGUGCCUUCCAGAUGAUAACGGAACCCUGUCCUUCACUUGUUCCACAAAACAACUCAUGGUUUGUCUGAAAUUCUAACACAACCGAGGUACUGUUUCCAAAGCUUGACCUCAGGUUUCCUGUUUCUGGCAGACCUUGACUGGGAUCCUUAUUCCAGAGACGGGGUGUGUGGCCGAUGGAGGCUCAAGGAUCUGUAGACACCAUCCAACUUACAUAUUGGUGCCUGAAACUAUUUUAAAAACUAGUGCCAAGCCGGGUGUGGUGGCACACGCCUUUAAUCCCAGAACUUGAGAGCACAGACAGGCAGAUCUCUAUGAGUUUAAGGCCAGCCUGAUCUAUGUAGUGAGUUCCAGCCCAGCCCAGGGCUUCAUGGUGAGAUCUUGUCUCAAAGGAAAAAAAACAAAAACAGAAGAACAAUGAUGAAACAUAAUGAUUUGUUAAUGGUUCAAUGCUUUGGAAAGCCGCAAGCCAAAGAACUGUGGUUCUGUCUAGAUCCCGUGCAGCCCAUUCAUGCCACAGACAAGGAAGCUGACCUGGGGAGAGGAGGUGACGUGCUACCUGGGGACGAGCAGGAGAGAGCACUGGGCUCCCUCUCUCCAUUAGGUUACAUUUCCAAGAUUGUUGAUGAUUUCUGCCUGUUGCGUAAGAAGUUGUUGGAAGAAGAGUUUGAUGUCUGAGUCACAGGCAAAGAGACCAAACAGAAAAAUCCUGGAUUUCAGAGGACAAUGCUCAGAAAGCCACUUCCUGCCAAAUGAAUGUUCUCAGACCCUAUCUACGCCCUCCUUCAAUGUAUCUGGCAGGUUAAUCCAGACCUGAACGCAUCCGCAUGUCCAACACGGUGGGGAGGGCAGCCCUGACACAGGAGGCCCCAGACAAUCCGGCUGUCACUGACACACAUUCUGAUCUGUUUUCAGAAAACACUCUUCCUGCAGGAGAUAAAUAGCUGCUGCUCAGGAACCGGAGCCACACUGAAGAGUGCCAGGGUCACCGCUGGUUUCAUUUGGGCCAUCCCCGUGGCCUUUGUGCCUCACACCCCUUGAGGCUCACGUCUUGGGUUCAAGAAAAAUCCAUGCAGCCAGCAGGAUCCUGACAACCUGAGUCCAGUCCCUGGACCCCCACAUUAUGCAUGGAUGGAACCUACUCUUACAGCCAUCCUAUAACUUUCACACACAAAUAAGCAAAAACCUUAAGUAGCCUGUGGGAGAAACAGACACCGUUUAAAGAGCUUGGAACAGGGCAGCCGGCAGUUACAGCGCCACAGUGGAGGAAGGUGCCCGGGAGGAGGCAUGAGGCAGGACUCAUGUCAGAGGGAUGCUUCCCUCAAAAAAGGUACUGGCUGCUGCAGGUUAGAGCAUUUGCUUCUUCUCUUGUUGCAGGGAGCAGCUGGCUAGCGGAGCUUCUUCAAGGGAGGAUGGUUUAUUGCGGCUCACAGGCUGAGGAUCCAGCCACUCACCAGCAAGGCACCAGAGCCAGAACACCAGCAGCUGGCCACCCUGCAGAGUCAGGAAGCAGAGAGAGACCAAUGCUGGGCUGGUGCCCGCCUUGCUUUCUCCUUUCGUUUGCUCUGCCCUCUCCCCCCACCCACCCCAACCCCACCCUAUGGGAUGGUGUCUGCCCAUCACAGACAGACUUUGUUGGGGAGACAAGAGAGGAGGUGAAGUGACAACCAGUAAGCGCUUACUGUAUGCCAGACAUAGCAGAUCUUUAUCCUCUUCAACAGUUCUAGGAGGUGUAUAUGCUCCGUUUACUCCGCAGAUAAGGGAAGUGAAGCCAAAGUGGAAAGAGCAAUUAGCCCAGUCAUUGCGGGGUUGACGGUCAGGGCCCUGUGUUUCUGGACUCCUUGCUUCUUUUUAAGGCGGUAAGCAGGCUUGUCCCACGAUGGGGACAUGAUCCCUUUAAUGGAAGAUUUGUGUCUGAGUCUGGAGCCUGCCUCCAGCUUCGGGAACACUGUGAUGUAUCGGUGAGUUGAAGGACAAAGGAUCUAUGGGGCCGGGACUCUCCAGGGGCCUGUUGACAGGCUCUUCGAAGACAGACUCCUCAGAGCCCUCUUUUCCAGUAAGCCCUCAUGGAGCAGCCAUAGCCAAAACCCUGCUAAGUGAGACCCCCGCCUCGUCCUCCAGCCCCUUGAGAUCUGAUCCGAGUUUUCUUUCCCUCUUCUCCAUAUUUGAUUCCUUGUCUGCACUAGGCAAGGGCUUUCCUCUUGACAUCUCUUGUCUCAGUUGUUUCCUGCCCACUGACCUGUCCCUCUGUGCCUGGGCUGUGAACCCCUGUUGUCUCUGUUGCGGGGGGUGGGAGGGAGUUUAGGCUUGUCUGCCCAGCCAGCCUUAGCGCCUGUCUUCAUGGUCCUGAACUGUGUCUUCCUUGAUGGAACAGGCGUCCAUAUUGUCUAAGGUAGCAUCCGAAGCAAGCUAGUGCCCACAUGACGCACUCAUGCCGCAGCCUGUGCUCUUCACCGUCCGUCUCCCGCUUCCAGCCAACACCCAGGGAUCACGCCGAAGGGUGGAUCUGCACAGUCAUGGCUUUACACGGAUGUCUCCAGCCCCUGGUGAUGGGAACCUUCCAGCUUUUGCUCCCUGCAACCCAGCCCCUUAUUCUCCAGGUGUAUUCCGACAGCCCACCUCCAGAUAAAAGGCUUGACCCCUUGCUUCCAAACCUCAUAGGAGACCCAUCCUGGAUCCUGGCCAUGAGGGCCCGGUAGGGGGUAUUCCCUGAAGGCCUCCGAUCACCCCCACCCUUGCCGCCCUCCAUCCUGAACUUCUCAGUGGUGUGCCUUAUCCCCGGCCACCUUACUGUGCUGGUUAUGUGGCUCUGGUGCCACUCUGUCUGCCGUUUAACUGACACCCCAUACUCGUGGGUAUUUCUCACACCCAUGGUAUAGAUGGGAACUCUGAGGCCCACAGAAACAAUGGUUGACCUACUGUAAUGAUACCCCAGCCCCGCAGACCCACACACCCCGGGGGGGCCUGACCUGUGGCGACAGGCGCUGGGUCCUGAGGAAGAAGCCAAGGAGGCAGCCCACGAUGACAGACAACACCGACAGGAUGAGUAGCCCGUUGUGUUUACACACUGCCCGCCCUCGAGCCAGGACAGCGCCCAGCGCCAUGCUGAGCCCAGCCCGUUGGCACCAUUCCAUGCACUGGAGGCCGUGUCCCAGGUCUGGGCCGGAGGCACGAGCCUCUCUCCUCGCAGGUGAAUGGGGGGGCCCUAAGCACCUACGGCCAGCCUUGCAGCCAUGGUCUGUGCAGCCGCCCAGAGGGAAGCCACAAUCCUAUUACCAGCCGCAUCAUUAGGAGCUGGGCGCAGAUUAGGGCCUGGGAAAUUAGAGCAGGCCACGUGGUUGGGGUGUCCAGCCCUCAACGCCAAAUGCUUCUCCUGAAGAGGGGAGGGGACCAGGUACCACGACAGGAAGCGGACGCGCAUCAGCCCCACCUCAUUCCCAGAAGCUCUGGAAACAAGGCAGUGAGGUACCAGUCACUGCCUGCCUCAGUAAGUGUGCAAGGGGCCUCUGGUGGCUGUCCUCCAAGCAUGUGGUUGUUUUAGCUUGAUCUGUGCUCUCGCCAGUCCCCAGGAGUAGGGGAUGUGAAUGUGUCACCUUGCCAGUGCAGAUUCAGAGGUAGAAGGACCGAAUGCUGAGGCCAGGCUUGCCCUGGGUGCUACCACCACCCCUGGGGACCCAAGCCCGCCACCUCGGGCCUGGGUUCCAGUCUCCUUGUCAUCCAGAGAGGGACUGAGAUGCUGAGAGCCUGAGUCCCUCAGCACGGUCACUGAGCUGGCAUUUGACAGAGCAGGCAGAGCAGGGUCAGGUGAGGAGUUUAGACUUGAGUUCAGUUGCUCAGACUCCAGCUGAAUGUCAACAGGAAAUGAAUAAACUUUCUUCCAGGAUGCUCCAAGCCCAAGAUGCUCACUCACCCCGUAUCCCUCAGGGACUGUUUUUUUUUUUAAAUUUUUAAAGUAUUCUUGCUUAUUCUUUUUUCACACAUACACACAACAUAUCUUGAUCACAUCUGAACGAAAAAAAAAAAGAAGUAAAUAAAAAGAAUUAAAAGAA